GAGACUGCAACAAUUUACUGAUAGUUUACUGCCUGCUACUGGAAAUAUGAUCACUGCUAAUGAAAGCCUUAAACAGAUCAACCAUCUCAGACACUACCUGUGUCAGGUUCUAACUUCCUGUCUGUGUCUACUACUCUGUCUUCAUGUUUUUGUUUUGUUUACAUUAACUUGUUACACAUUAAGCUGCUGUGUCCCAGAUGUGAUAAGACAGUCUGGGCGUCACAGCUGCAGAGUGUGAACAUGGGAUUCAACAGCACGUUCUUUCUUUCGUCAUUUUUCAUCAUCUUUUUAGGCUCAUCUGUCUACAUAUCAGCACGACCGGCGUCUAACAACACUGGCAACCACGGGAACAUUUCCCUCAGCUGCGAUGAGGGGAAGGUAGGCGCUGAGAAUGAGUACAAUGUUAAAGAUGAUAUUGGAGAAAAUGUCUCUCUGGGAGACAUCAGUAACAUUCAUGUUUCUGGAACAAACGAAGGAUGCAUUGGAGGAAGGAACGAGUACACUGUGAAAGGAAAAAUUCCAGCCAAGUCAAACAUUGGCAACGUCAAUAAUGUGACCGUUGGUAACAACUCGGGAUCAAUUGGUUCGGGGAACCGCAUUAACAUUAACUGAGGAAAUCAAUUGGCUAAAAAUGUUAAAUUCAUACUUUGACAUCAGCAAAGAUCAUUGAGAUUCUUCAGCUUCAUUAUUAAAUAAAAAUAAAAAUAUAGUCAGUAUGCUGCAUGUCUUUGUAUUGUUUCAUUUCACUGUGAAAGGCCCUAUUUGGAGCCAGUCCAUUCUGGGCUACUGUAGAAAACUAGCAGUUCAACAUGGCGGCUCUAUGUAAGGCAACCUGCAAAAAAACAGCUCACAACAUUCAGCUGAUUAUACACUAAUGAAAACAUUAGUGUUAGAAUACCUCUGAAUUACUGCCCGUAUCUUUGUGUUUUACAGUGAUUUAAACAGAAUGAAAUUAACAAUAAAGAGAAAGGAAAUGAGGUAUCAGGCUAGUGAACUGGUGUAUUAUGACAGAGCAGCAGCAAGGUGGGGCUAUAUCCAAACCUAUACUGUAUGGACAGAGCUGUGAUUGAUGCUCUGAUUAUUAAUCUCUUAUUAAGUUAAACAUUUCAAAAAGAAGCUUGACAGGUGAAUCACACAAAAGAAAAAGAAAUAAAAAGACAACAUAUUCGUGGCUUUAAUAAGAUCAUUUAGAUAAGCUGCUUGUGCAAAGUUAGACACUUGAAAUAUGGAAAGAAAUAUUUUAAACUGAAGGAAAUUAAACUUUAAGAUAGCCAACUUUAAGAACAUGGCGUUGUCUUGCUCUGUUACAUUAUGUUACCUUCACAAAAACGCACACUAAUAACAUCAUUUACUCUCGGAGAAGUUUGGACAACAGCGAAACAAAAGGAACAAGAAACAGCAGACAAGAGCAGAGAACCACAGUAAGAAAACCUGCGCUAACAGUGACCUCAACAAAUGUCACCUUAAUAUGUAGCCUGAAUACUAAAUCAUAAAGCCAGCUGUACAUGUUUGGUUUGGUCUGUUUAUGUAAAGUCCCUCUAAAAUCCUCAUCCUUCUGAUUUAUGAGUCAGUGUCAGUUCCCAGUCACCACAUUGCUGAGUCAGACGUUUUAGAUCAUGACUGCAACAAACUCAAACUGAAAGUGAAGCUUCAGGUCAGACAGUCGCUAAAACAGGUUCAGUUUAAUGUCAGAACUCAACAUCGUGACUUGUGGUGGUUUAAUGGUUUCAGUAUGAAAAAGAAGUCUGAUAUUGAAAGUAAUUCAAAAAUAAAUAUGACUGUUAGAACCGUUUGAAAUGUUACACGCUCAAUAAAUACCAGGCUCUGCUAUAAAAUAUCACUUAAACCAGACGAUUUAUUAAAAAAAGAUAAAAAGAUACAGAGAGCACUGUAGUCCAACAAAUAACAUGACACAGCAAGUAUUGUAGUUGUAAAGAGAUGUUACUAUUUGUGUUUGAAUCUGUGAUCAAGCACAAGGAAAAUACUUAAACGCACAUCACACAAACGUUAAGUAGAUCUUAACACAACCAGAAGCUGUGAUUGAUGAAGCUAUCUGUAAAUGUUAUAUAACCUGCUUAAUGUUUCAAAUAACCCACACUGUAAGGACACCUUACUCCUUCAACAGAGGAGAGGGGAGGAAAUGUAAAAUACACUUGUUUAGUAGUAGAUGUUUUAGGAGGCAGGGGGCUCACCAGUACUAUAACAUAGACACGUGAAAAUUACAACAAAAAGCUCUUCAGACUUUGUGGGGAACAAAAGAGUUUUGCUGAAGAAACAAAACAACUGUUUACCAUAUCUAGAAAGUUCCUCCUCCUAAACCCCCAAAGACAUGAGCACGCAUGUUCAGGACCCUUAUAAAAGCAGAGUCUCUCCUCAUUUCAAGAAGCUCACCUCAUAACACAGGACAAACAACUGAAACCAGUGUGAAUCUGUGUCUAGAUUUCAGCAGGAACAAUGUCGAAUGUUGCAAACACAGAGGACGUUCGCAUUAGUGACAACCAAGGGAAGGUUGGCGCUAACAAUGCCAUUGAUGUUAAAGGAGGUCUUGGAAAAAAUACUGAACUGAGCAACACCACCGGCAUCACCGUUAUAGGAAAAAAUACAGACACAGCACGUAUUGGAGCAGACAACAGCUAUGACCUUAAAGGAGGAGUGGGAGAUGGUUCCAGGAUUGGCAACACUGCUGGUGUUACAGUUGGUAAUAACUCAGGAGCCAUUGGUGCAGGAAAUCGCGUUAACAUCAGCUGAGGAAAUGGCCCUCCAACAGAUGGACAACUCUUCUAAAAAUGAUGUACAAUUUGUGAUAUAAUUGAAAUGUCUUAGACGUAGUAGUAGUAAGUAUUAAAAAAAUGUUAAAUUCAUGAUUUCAAAUGUCAUUAAUGAGAUGAAUGUCAAAUAAGUACAAAUAAAAACAAAGUCCAUCUA
This is a long non-coding RNA of Dicentrarchus labrax (European seabass), 2925 nucleotides long. RefSeq lists it as uncharacterized. Lineage: Eukaryota; Metazoa; Chordata; Actinopteri; Moronidae. The transcript is spliced from 8 exons. The record is from RefSeq and is a predicted model, not a curated record.